AUUUAAAUAAUUUUCAUACCUUUUUGGGAUUGCAAAAAGCAAAAUUUGAUUCAUUAUCCCACUUUUUAAAAUAUAUGUGACAAAGUUGCUUCGAAAUCACCAUCACGCAGUAGCAUGUUUAUUUACCCUCAUCCUUUUGACUGAAUAAAGUUUAUCUUUUUGAAAAGCUAUUUGUUUUAUAGCUCUUGGUUACCGGUUUACAUUUAUAUCAUUUUUGGCA
Paramuricea clavata is the source of this 220-nucleotide non-coding RNA. NCBI's taxonomy places the organism in Eukaryota, Metazoa, Cnidaria, Anthozoa, Malacalcyonacea, Plexauridae. The record is from the annotation of a GenBank genome assembly.